UUAAGAAUGUUUACACACCCAAAGCUUUAAAUUCAUCCCUUCAGAAACCUAGGACAGAAGAGUUAGAAGAACUGUAUUUACACAGUUAAAAACUUUGAAAUGUGAAAUCAAAAAAGAUGAUUUGUUGCGGUUACAGAAAAUAUUUUUUAAAGUGAAAUCAAAACAAGAGGCAUUAAGGAGCUUAACAAACGCAUCAAAGUAAAUCAGAGUCAGAAUUACCUACUUAGGACAAGAUUUGUCUAAACUA
This 247-nucleotide long non-coding RNA is filed under the name Bos taurus (domestic cattle). Its description in RNAcentral is "long non-coding RNA NONBTAT024027". Lineage: Eukaryota; Metazoa; Chordata; Mammalia; Artiodactyla; Bovidae. The record is from RNAcentral.